RNAcentral lists this ribosomal RNA (468 nucleotides) under uncultured bacterium. Its description in RNAcentral is "partial 16S ribosomal RNA". It matches the Rfam family "Bacterial small subunit ribosomal RNA", at positions 28 to 507 of the family's 1533-position model. The record is from RNAcentral.
GACGAACGCUGGCGGCGUGCUUAACACAUGCAAGUCGAACGGAAAGGCCCUGCUUUUGUGGGGUGCUCGAGUGGCGAACGGGUGAGUAACACGUGAGUAACCUGCCCUUGACUUUGGGAUAACUUCAGGAAACUGGGGCUAAUACCGGAUAGGAGCUCCUGCUGCAUGGUGGGGGUUGGAAAGUUUCGGCGGUUGGGGAUGGACUCGCGGCUUAUCAGCUUGUUGGUGGGGUAGUGGCUUACCAAGGCUUUGACGGGUAGCCGGCCUGAGAGGGGGACCGGCGACAUUGGGACUGAGAUACGGCCCAGACUCCUACGGGAGGCAGCAGUGGGGAAUAUUGCACAAUGGGCGGAAGCCUGAGGCAGCAACGCCGCGUGCGGGAUGACGGCCUUCGGGUUGUAAACCGCUUUCGCCUGUGACGAAGCGUGAGUGACGGUAAUGGGUAAAGAAGCACCGGCUAACUACGUG